RNAcentral lists this ribosomal RNA (884 nucleotides) under Terribacillus saccharophilus. RNAcentral describes it as "bacterial SSU rRNA". It matches the Rfam family "Bacterial small subunit ribosomal RNA", at positions 9 to 861 of the family's 1533-position model. The record is from RNAcentral. Lineage: Bacteria; Bacillati; Bacillota; Bacilli; Caryophanales; Bacillaceae.
GAGUUUGAUCCUGGCUCAGGACGAACGCUGGCGGCGUGCCUAAUACAUGCAAGUCGAGCGCAGGAAACCAGAUGACCCGUUCGGGGUGAUUCUGGUGGAAUGAGCGGCGGACGGGUGAGUAACACGUGGGCAACCUGCCUGUAAGACUGGGAUAACUUCGGGAAACCGGAGCUAAUACCGGAUAGUAUUUCCUUUCUCCUGAUUGGAAAUGGAAAGACGGUUUCGGCUGUCACUUACAGAUGGGCCCGCGGUGCAUUAGCUAGUUGGUGGGGUAAUGGCCCACCAAGGCGACGAUGCAUAGCCGACCUGAGAGGGUGAUCGGCCACACUGGGACUGAGACACGGCCCAGACUCCUACGGGAGGCAGCAGUAGGGAAUCUUCCGCAAUGGACGAAAGUCUGACGGAGCAACGCCGCGUGAGCGAUGAAGGCCUUCGGGUCGUAAAGCUCUGUUGUUAGGGAAGAACAAGUACGAGAGUAACUGCUCGUACCUUGACGGUACCUAACCAGAAAGCCCCGGCUAACUACGUGCCAGCAGCCGCGGUAAUACGUAGGGGGCAAGCGUUGUCCGGAAUUAUUGGGCGUAAAGGGCUCGUAGGCGGUUUCUUAAGUCUGAUGUGAAAGCCCACAGCUCAACUGUGGAGGGUCAUUGGAAACUGGGGAACUUGAGUGCAGAAGAGGAGAGUGGAAUUCCACGUGUAGCGGUGAAAUGCGUAGAUAUGUGGAGGAACACCAGUGGCGAAGGCGACUCUCUGGUCUGUAACUGACGCUGAGGAGCGAAAGCGUGGGGAGCAAACAGGAUUAGAUACCCUGGUAGUCCACGCCGUAAACGAUGAGUGCUAGGUGUUAGGGGGUUUCCGCCCCUUAGUGCUGAAGUUAACGCAUU